AGAGUUUGCUUUUGGCUCAGGAUGAACGCUGGCGGCGUGCCUAAUACAUGCAAGUCGAACGCACAGCGAAAGGUGCUUGCACCUUUCAAGUGAGUGGCGAACGGGUGAGUAACACGUGGAUAACCUACCUCAAGGUUGGGGAUAACAUUUGGAAACAGAUGCUAAUACCGAAUAAAACUUCGUAUCGCAUGAUACAAGGUUAAAAGGCGCUACGGCGUCACCUAGAGAUGGAUCCGCGGUGCAUUAGUUAGUUGGUGGGGUAAAGGCCUACCAAGACAAUGAUGCAUAGCCGAGUUGAGAGACUGAUCGGCCACAUUGGGACUGAGACACGGCCCAAACUCCUACGGGAGGCUGCAGUAGGGAAUCUUCCACAAUGGGCGAAAGUCUGAUGGAGCAACGCCGCGUGUGUGAUGAAGGCUUUCGGGUCGUAAAGCACUGUUGUAUGGGAAAAACAGCUAGAGUAGGGAAUGACUUUAGUUUGACGGUACCAUACCAGAAAGGGACGGCUAAAUACGUGCCAGCAGCCGCGGUAAUACGUAUGUCCCGAGCGUUAUCCGGAUUUAUUGGGCGUAAAGCGAGCGCAGACGGUUGAUUAAGUCUGAUGUGAAAGCCCGGAGCUCAACUCCGGAAAGGCAUUGGAAACUGGUCAACUUGAGUGCAGUAGAGGUAAGUGGAACUCCAUGUGUAGCGGUGGAAUGCGUAGAUAUAUGGAAGAACACCAGCGGCGAAGGCGGCUUACUGGACUGUAACUGACGUUGAGGCUCGAAAGUGUGGGUAGCAAACAGGAUUAGAUACCCUGGUAGUCCACACCGUAAACGAUG
Molecule: ribosomal RNA, 821 nt
Filed under: uncultured bacterium
Lineage: Bacteria
Description: bacterial SSU rRNA
Rfam family: Bacterial small subunit ribosomal RNA
Source: RNAcentral